This 2544-nucleotide long non-coding RNA is filed under the name Homo sapiens (human). RNAcentral's name for it is "FGGY divergent transcript". Lineage: Eukaryota; Metazoa; Chordata; Mammalia; Primates; Hominidae. The record is from RNAcentral.
UGAGGGAGUUCGAGGUUUGGGAGACAGUUUAGCAGUCGCUGAGUCCAAACAUGUUGUUUUCCUAGAAAAGAAAACUGAGAUCCAGGAAAGGGAAGUGAUUUUCCAAAGACACACCUGUGAAAGGUAAUAAUUUCACUGAACGGAUCUUAAGUGGCAGGUGCACUAAGAUUGUCUGCUAUCUUCACAACAACCCCGAAGUAAAUAAGUGCUCUUAUCUUGGUCUUACAGGUGAGGAGAACAGCCCAGUGAGGCUGAGGCCACACAAUUAACCCCAGUCUUUGCACUACAACUCUACCAGGGAUCCUGGUUUGGCUCAUUUUCUUUCUUCUGCACCAUGAUUGUUCACCUUUUCAUUACCAGCAACAUACCCAAAGACCUAGCUAUAGACUCGUUGGAAUCUGUUACUUAGCAGCUGUGUGAAUCAAGUGUUCAAUAGGAAUAAUAAGAUGUAUUCAUCUUACCUUUUCAGAACAUUAUGAAGAACAAAUGUGGUAAGACAUAUGAAAAUGCUUUGUAAAGUGUUAGAUGCUUAAUACACAGAAGACAUUGCUUCCAGAUCUGUUUCAACGUACCCCAAGAAUGGAAUAAGUGGAAUAUGCUGGUUUCAUGCACUGUGGCAAGGGGGUCUCAUCUUGGCUAGACUUGAAUAAGUGGAUUUGUUGCCUGGCCUCUGUGGAUGGCUCUUUCUCUGGGCUUUUGUGUAUUUGAUUUUUUAUUUGCUCCAGCAGCCGUGUUGAACCAUGAAAGGACCUCAGGAAUGAAACCCACACACAGCAAAGCAACAAAGUGAAAGAAGCGUGGAUUCCUAAUGCAGGAGGCACUGAACCAAUCAAUACCCACUGCCCUCCAGACCUCCACAUGAAAGAAAAAAACUGCUGUCCUGUGAAGAAGACACUCCCCAGAUGCCAGCAACUUGAUAUUGGACUUCCUGCCUUUAGAAACGUGAGAAAUAAAUUUUUUUUCUUUAUAAGUUACCCAGCCUCUGGCAUUCUGUUAUAGCAGCACAGAACAGACUAAGACAGCCACUGAAACCAGAUCUAUGUCCCGGACCACCCUCAUUUGCCUCAAUUUCUCUCUAUAUAUAAUAAGAACAAAUAAUGCAAAUGCUAUCUAUACUUCCCCGUGACUACAGGGAGACUAAGGGAUGAAAUAUAUAAUCACACUUUGAAAAUAUAUAAAUGUUAUCCAACCAUACAUCCAUUGUUUCACAUCAGGCUGGGCCACAUAGCUUCCUCUGUACCCUUUAGUUUCCUGCCCUUAUCUCUAUCACAGGCCAUAUAUCAAAUGCCUAGUAAUUAUCAGUGCAUCUAUAUAUUCCCUAUUCUCCCCAACAAUACAUAAAAGGUUAUUGCAUUGCAUUGAAUUAUAAGACUUGAUUACUGGAAAGUCUAGACAUCACUCAGGGUCAUUGUGGGGCAGCAUGGGGAUUAUGCAGUGUCAUUAUCCACUAAGCACACUGGAGGUCACACCAGUGAAGUAGCACGUCAGAUGUAAGCAAGACAGAGCUGGGUUGUGAAACUCUGGAACCAGCUGAGCUGAAAGUUUGUGUAAUUUCCUUCCUGCUCAGAGAUGGUUCCAUAUAGUAGACAGAGAGGAGACACGGAGCUUCUCUGGUAAGCUGUGGAGGCCCUGUAAUGCUCUAACUGCAUUCUAUGAAAGCUUUUCCUGCAUUAGCAACCUGCCCAUUACCAGAGAAAAGAGAUAUUUUCCCUAAGAUUCUUAGAAUCAUAGCACAGAAAUAGAUCUUAUUAUUCAUUUAUUCAUUCCUACAUUUAUGUAUUCAUUCAUUCAACAAAGAUUUAUUGAGUACUGUUCUAGGCAUUAAAGAGAUAGUGUUUGAGAUGAACAGAUAUUUUCCUUGUCCUCAUGGAACUUACAGUCAGGAAACACAUUAAAGAAAUAAACACACAAAUAUGUAGUUGAUUCAAGUGCAAGUAGAAAGGAAAACAGAAAACUGUAAGAGAGGGAAGCUGAUUUUGAUUGAAGUUUAAUUUAGAGUGGGGAUUUUGAAGAGGCAGAUAACAUUACACACAUUGUUUCUGGUCUCAACAACUCUAUGAAGUGCCUAUUAUCACAACUAUUGUACAGAUAGGGAAACCGAGGUUUAUGGAAAUUGGGUGACUGGGCUAGGGAAGCACUAUUAGUAAGUUUGGAGCAGGUUGUGCUCUCUCUGGUACUCCGUGCUGCAUAACAGAAACCCGGAAGGUGAAAAUUUUCCCACUUCCCACCUUUGCACAUACCAUGCCUACUUCCACCUAAAAUGCCUCUCCCUUCAUUCUUAUUGGAUUCAUAUUCUGCCAUCAGUAUCUAGUUGAGGAUGUACCUCCUCUGUAAAGUUCCUCCUUCUAUCUCAAUAAAUCUCUUUUCUUGUAGGAUUCCUGCAACAAUCAUCAAAUAUUACUUACAUGGCCUUGAACCUAGGAUAGCUUGUCAAGUUAAUUCUCUUUUUCACAUGCUUGCCCUGAUGCUCUUACUCAGAGGCCUACAGACAGUACAAUGCCAUUAGAGCCAGACAGACUUGGGCCUUCUCCCAGUUCUACAGAU